GGAGGGGUGGUCUAGUGGUCAUGACACCUCGCUUACACCGAGGGAAUCGCGGGUUCAACUCCCGUCCUCUCCA
This 73-nucleotide transfer RNA is filed under the name Candidatus Bathyarchaeota archaeon. Its description in RNAcentral is "tRNA-Val". It matches the Rfam family "tRNA". Rfam says of the family: Transfer RNA (tRNA) molecules are approximately 80 nucleotides in length. Their secondary structure includes four short double-helical elements and three loops (D, anti-codon, and T loops). Further hydrogen bonds mediate the characteristic L-shaped molecular structure. tRNAs have two regions of fundamental functional importance: the anti-codon, which is responsible for specific mRNA codon recognition, and the 3' end, to which the tRNAs corresponding amino acid is attached (by aminoacyl-tRNA synthetases). tRNAs cope with the degeneracy of the genetic code in two manners: having more than one tRNA (with a specific anti-codon) for a particular amino acid; and 'wobble' base-pairing, i.e. permitting non-standard base-pairing at the 3rd anti-codon position. Lineage: Archaea; Thermoproteati; Candidatus Bathyarchaeota. The record is from RNAcentral.